UAUAAAUGUAAUUAAAAAUUCUAAAUUAGUAUUAGUUAUGUUCUUAAAAAUUAAAGAUUUUGGCGGUAUUUUAGUCUUUUCAGAGGAACCUGUUCUAUAAUUGAUAAUCCACGAUUAAUUAAACUUAUUUUAUUAGUUUGUAUAUCGUUGUAGUUUGAAUAUUUUAAUAGAAUAAUAAUAUUCAAGAUUUUUUAUAAGAAAAUAAAUCAAAUCAAGGUGCAGUUUAUAGAUAAGAAGAAAUGGGUUACAAUAAAUUUAUUUAUAUGGAUAAAUUAAUGAAAUUUAAUUUUGAAAGUGGAUUUGAAAGUAAUUUAUUUUAUUUAUUUUAAAUGAUUAAAGCUCUAAAAUAUGU
RNAcentral lists this ribosomal RNA (352 nucleotides) under Hypodacnella rubripes. Its description in RNAcentral is "partial 12S ribosomal RNA". Lineage: Eukaryota; Metazoa; Arthropoda; Insecta; Coleoptera; Cerylonidae. The record is from RNAcentral.